GUAUACCUCACCAGAACUUUCUUCACAGGGAGGCUGUUUUGGUCAAUGGCAAGAGAAAAAAAGAAGCAGAAACAACGUCAAGAUAAAAACAUAACCUAAGCAAAACCUUACGAGUCAUUAUUGAAGGAAAGUACAUUCUGUGUUUCUUCAUGUAGUUAAUAGUUCUGACCAAUAAGAGUAGCAAAUUCAAGAAGUUGCUCGUCAUGCUCGAACACAGACAUUUCUUCUUCAUUCAAGUUAACAGCUGCUUCAAUUCCUCCAUCAUAUGUCCUCAUCAAGAUCAUAGCCUUGUUAAUUGGACCCUUUGCAAUGCUUGCUCUAAUUGGCUGCCCAAAUCCAAAAUCUAAAUCUUGUAUUAUUGGGAACUUACAUAUGCUACUCGAAAGGUACACAUCACAUUUCCUUUUAUGGAAAGUCUCCUUCCCUGUUCUAUAUGCAUCUAGAAUCACCAUAGCCGUUUCAUUUUCUUCAAGAUUAUUUCUUGUGGCGAGGUUGUUUUUUGACUUCCUUAUAUCGGCUACUAGUUUUGGUAACUUGAGUUCUUCCUCGUUGUUGUAUACCGGCGAGUAGAAUCUGGUAAUGAUAUUUCCUAUGGAGUUUGGUGGUAACCGUGGUGAAAUCAUUUCUCGGAUAUUGGAGUACUGGACCAACCGAGAUCGCUUGAACAAACCAGAAUUAACGUUGGUGACAGAAAAUGCUGCACAUUUGUAGAGAAGUGCAUUCACAGCCUCAUUGGUCGUUACGUUUUGCACGCCAAUUGCGGAUUUUAGUGCACUUAGCUUUGUGCUAGAAAAAAUAAACCUCUUUUGGACACAUUUGUCCAUGUCUGAUCCAAUAACAGGGUAAACCAAUGGACCAAUUGGCGAUGGUAGAAUGGAGUCCUCAACAAAAUAAGGAGAUGGUCUAAUUGUAUUUGAACUUCGAGUUAAUGAAGCCCAAUCCCUCAAGAAACAAUAGACACUGCUUCCGUCUCCUAUUUUGUGUGAUAGGCAGACACUGAGUGCUAUUCCUCCGCAAUCAAAAUGACUUAAUUGAGCUACAGUUAAGGCCCCAUCCAUGCUACUACCCCAAGGUAGGCCUUGAGGAAAUGUCAAAUCUUUAACAUUUGAAUCAGGGUGAUUAACAACUUUGUCCAUUGAAGAAUUGAUUUGAACUUCCAAGAACUCAGCCCCAUGGUCAUCACACUCUAUAGCGGCAUUGUCUUUUAGACUUCCAGCCCAUGGAUAGUAACAACUUAAGGUUUUUGACAGAGAGUUUGAUAGAAGUUUCGAUAGUUGUUUAGGCCCAUUUGGAAUAGCAUUUACUUGGUUUUGGUGGUAGAAAAAAACAAGGGGCAUAUAAAGGUGAGUUACGCCUUGAUCUAUGAGGGAAAUCUUAGAGUGGAUGGGGUGGGAGUGAAAGGUUUAAUGAUUUUCUUGGAAAUUAUUGAUAGCAUACUUGAUGUUAUUAAUAUAAAAUCUCACCAAUAUAAAAUCCUUUCUUGUUAGUCUUUCACAAGUUAGCUAGCUAUAUAUAUACACAUGAUGAAAACGAGACCUUUUAAUGCUAAAAGGAAAUUACAAACAGUGACCAUCUUUUGCUGAUUCUACCCUAUGGAAGUCUGACAUAAAUAACAAUUAUAAUAUAUCAGUGGACGUGACAAGCUUAAUUAAGUGUCCUUUAGUUAACUUCUCCCUCCGGUCCUAAAAAUUAGUUAUAUAUAUAGUAAUUAACAAUAAAGGAGACACAUGGAUGUUAAUUAAUAAGUAGGGAAGAAGGGAAAUUAAAAUGAUCCCAUGCAUCGCCGCAAUAAGUAAAUGCAAAAGAGUGUAAAGUUAGGUGCAUAUAUCAUGAAUUACUUCCACGAGGUUUUGUUGGAAAAUAUAUUUUAUGAACACAAAAUUUAUGAAAAAAAAUACAAGAUAAAGGCUUGACAAUAUGAACAUCGAAGACGGAAUUUGAAGCUUGAAAUACGUGCCAAACGCUUUCCAAAAAAUGAUAUUUGCUUCCUCUUCUUAGCGAGAUUGUUAUGGAAUUAUAAGCAAAUAGUUUUAGUGGAUAUGAUAAGGUUAUUGAAUUUUGUACUAAACAAUUAUUGAAAAAAUUCUUCUUGAAAGCAAGAAUUACAAAAGAAUUUAUAAAAGAUUAUAAAAAAUAAUCAACUGAUUAUUGCCUCUCAAUACUGUUUCAUUUUAGUAGGCCAAAAUCGGUGACGGGCUACGUCAGUUAAUGUUGAGAGACGCCAUACCCAACCAAAAUUUAAAAUAAAAAGAAUUUUUCAACUGUUUCAUAUUUUUAUCACGAAAAUUAAUUUUCACAAAAAAUCGACAGAAAGAAUACAAAGAUGAGAAAAAACAGAGAAUAAGGCUAUCUUUAUUCGGUUGUGAAAUAACACAUCAAAAUAAUUCGAUUUGAUUUUUUUUAACUUCGCUUCAAUUUGAUUUUGUGUUUCUAAAUUGAUUUUUCCAUGCAAGUGAGAAACAAGACAAACAAAAUAUGAAGGUUGCAAACUUAGCAUAUUAUAUAUAUAGUUCUUAAAUUAAUAAAAGUUUGGUUAUUCGAUGCACCGAAUAAUCAUGAUCCUUAAAUCGAAGAACGAUUAUCCGGCUCCUCUCCAUUUUCUCGAUCGAUUAAUAAAGUUGAAAUCGAAUUGAAGAAUCAUGAGCAAAAGAAUUGAAGGACUGAAAAAUAUUUUUUUGAAGUCAUUCCAUGUCUCCCUUUUUAUUGUCGUGAUGUGGAAAUAAUAUAUGUUUUGAAAUGACAUUAAAAAUAGAGCUUUUAUAUUAACUACUAAAACUGUUAUAUUAGCUACUAAAUAUUCAUUUCUGUAUCUUAUUGCCAAAUUUAUAAUUGAUAAAUUUGGAGGGAAUAAGAGAAAGUUGAGAGAAAUAAUAGGAAGGGAAUAUUGAGAAAAUGAUAGAGAUAAAGCAGCUUAUUUUUAAUUGAUACUGUAUAUUUAUAUUAACCAUAGUUAGAGGUUUCACUUAGAAUAAAUUAAAUCUUAGCCAUUUAAUUUAAUUAGGUUAUGUGUCAUUAAUCAAGAUGAGGACUUGGAGAAAAUGGAAAGGAGCCAAAACCGCGUAAUAAUAUCUUGUCUAAUCUUGUUCCCUAUAAUACUUGUUCAACCUACAUCAACCUCUCCUUUAACAAUUUAUAGAACCUCUCACACCUGUCCGCUAUUUAUUUGUUGCCAUAUUAUGUUAUUUUCCUUGGAUUUGUUUCUCUCUUCUUGAUUCACAAAUUGAAAGGGAAAGUUUAGACUUGGGUAUUUUCCGUUGCUACUCGUUUGGGCAUUUAAAUUGUGCUACCUUGUGCCUUGCCUCUUUCCCAACACUAUUAAAGCAAAACUAAAUCAUAUUAUUCUUUUACGAUAAGAAGAAAAUUAGUAGCCACAUUAGGAAUACAAAGGGAGGGAAGACUAGUUCCAGUUCGAGGAGAAAUAAACAAGACAAGGAAAUGGAAAUUCAGAAAUGUUAUUCAAUCUGCAUGGGAAUUAAAGUCAAUUAAAUAUGGAGUAUGAAUUUGUCCCAUUAUUAAUCAUCAUCAUGCAUACAGCAUACUGUUAUUGUUGUUCAUAGUUAACAGGAGCAGCAAAUUGAAGAAGGUGCUCAUCAUGCUCGAACACAGACAUUUCUUCUUCAUUCAAGUUAACUAAUGCUUCAAUUCCUCCAUCAUUUGUCCUCAUCAAGAACAUAGCCUUGUUAAAUGGACCCUUUGCCAUGCUUGCUCUAAUUGGCUUCCCAAAUCCAAAAUCUAAAUCUUGUAAUAAUGGGAACUUACAUAAGCUACUUGAAGAGUACACAUCACAUUUCCUUUUAUGGAAUAUCGACUCCCCUGUUCUAUAUGCAUCUAGCAUCUCUAUAGCCAACUCAUUUUCUUCAACAUUCUUCCUUGUGGAGAGGUUGUUUUUAGACUUCUUUAUAUCAGCUACUAAUUUUGAUAACUUGAGUUCUUCCUUCUUGUCGUAUAUCGGUGAGGAGAAUAUGCUAAAGAUAUUUCCUAUAGGGUUUGGUGGUAGCUGGGGUGAAAUCAUUUCUCGUAAAUCUGACAACUGGAUCAACUGUGAUCGCUUGAACGAACCUGAAUUAACUGCGAUGGCUGAAAAUGCAGCACAUUUGUAGAGAAGUGCACUCACAGCCUCGCUGCUCGUUACAUUUUGCACGCCAAUUGAGGAUUUUAGUGCACUUAGUUUUGUGCUAGAAAAAAUAAACCUCUUUUGGACACAUUUGUCCAUGUCUGAUCCCGUAAUGGGGGAAACCAAUGGACCAAUUGGCGAUGAUAAAAUAGAGUCCUCAACGAAAUAAGGAGAUGGUCUAAUUGUAUUUGAACUUCGAGUUAACGCAGCCCAAUCCCUCAAGAAACAAUGGGCACUGCUUCCGUCUCCUAUUUUGUGUGAUAGGCACACACUGAGUGC
This 4393-nucleotide long non-coding RNA is filed under the name Capsicum annuum. Its description in RNAcentral is "long non-coding RNA (CANN_LNC009234)". The record is from RNAcentral. Lineage: Eukaryota; Viridiplantae; Streptophyta; Magnoliopsida; Solanales; Solanaceae.